This 262-nucleotide ribosomal RNA is filed under the name Paenibacillus solanacearum. RNAcentral's name for it is "partial 16S ribosomal RNA". It matches the Rfam family "Bacterial small subunit ribosomal RNA", at positions 517 to 779 of the family's 1533-position model. Lineage: Bacteria; Bacillati; Bacillota; Bacilli; Caryophanales; Paenibacillaceae. The record is from RNAcentral.
GCGGUAAUACGUAGGGGGCAAGCGUUGUCCGGAAUUAUUGGGCGUAAAGCGCGCGCAGGCGGUUUUUUAAGUCUGGUGUUUAAGCCCGGGGCUCAACCCCGGUUCGCACCGGAAACUGGAAGACUUGAGUGCAGGAGAGGAAAGCGGAAUUCCACGUGUAGCGGUGAAAUGCGUAGAGAUGUGGAGGAACACCAGUGGCGAAGGCGGCUUUCUGGACUGUAACUGACGCUGAGGCGCGAAAGCGUGGGGAGCAAACAGGAUU